UGAUGACUCACUCAUAUGCAUUCCUUGGAAAAUCUGAACAAAAUGAGAACUCACUACCAUUAAGAAAGAAAUAA
Suricata suricatta (meerkat) is the source of this 74-nucleotide small nucleolar RNA. Its record names the gene SNORD116. It matches the Rfam family "Small nucleolar RNA SNORD116". Rfam says of the family: HBII-85 is a member of the C/D class of snoRNAs, which contain the C (UGAUGA) and D (CUGA) box motifs. HBII-85 is encoded in a tandemly repeated array with another C/D snoRNA, HBII-52, in the Prader-Willi syndrome (PWS) region of chromosome 15. Unlike most other snoRNAs, HBII-85 is expressed prevalently in the brain (but is absent in PWS patients) and lacks any significant complementarity with ribosomal RNA. The record is from Ensembl. Lineage: Eukaryota; Metazoa; Chordata; Mammalia; Carnivora; Herpestidae.